This 402-nucleotide ribosomal RNA is filed under the name uncultured bacterium. Its description in RNAcentral is "bacterial SSU rRNA". It matches the Rfam family "Bacterial small subunit ribosomal RNA", at positions 355 to 774 of the family's 1533-position model. The record is from RNAcentral.
UGGGGAAUAUUGGACAAUGGGCGAAAGCCUGAUCCAGCAAUACCGAGUGAGUGAUGAAGGCCCUAGGGUUGUAAAGCUCUUUUAGCAAGGAAGAUAAUGACGUUACUUGCAGAAAAAGCCCCGGCUAACUCCGUGCCAGCAGCCGCGGUAAGACGGAGGGGGCUGGCGUUGUUCGGAAUUACUGGGCGUAAAGAGUGCGUAGGCGGUUUAGUAAGUUGGAAGUGAAAGCCCGGGGCUUAACCUCGGAAUUGCUUUCAAAACUACUAAUCUAGAGUGUAGUAGGGGAUGAUGGAAUUCCUAGUGUAGAGGUGAAAUUCUUAGAUAUUAGGAGGAACACCGGUGGCGAAGGCGGUCAUCUGGGCUACAACUGACGCUGAUGCACGAAAGCGUGGGGAGCAAACA